UACGUAGGUGACAAGCGUUGUCCGGAUUUACUGGGCGUAAAGAGCGCGCAGGCGGUCGUUCAAGUCGAGUGUGAAAGCCCCCGGCUCAACUGGGGAGGGUCAUUCGAUACUGAUCGACUCGAAGGCAGGAGAGGGAAGUGGAAUUCCCGGUGUAGUGGUGAAAUGCGUAGAUAUCGGGAGGAACACCAGUGGCGAAGGCGGCAUCCUGGACCGACAUUGACGCUGAGGAGCGAAAGCUAGGGGAGCAAACGGG
Molecule: ribosomal RNA, 253 nt
Filed under: uncultured bacterium
Lineage: Bacteria
Description: partial 16S ribosomal RNA
Rfam family: Bacterial small subunit ribosomal RNA
Source: RNAcentral